GUCAACGUAAAGACAAUCACAUCUAAUUCCGGAAUGCAAAUCCGACCUUUUUAUUAAAGUAUCACGCCAUGACAGAAAUCUAACCAAUUCUAUUACUUUCAAACUCAAAUAAAGGGUUGUAACUAAACCUCCUAGAAUACCAAAAAUUCUCGUGCUCAACACCACUUUACUUUUUUAAAAGGACUGUCACUACCCCUGACAAGCCCCCCACUACUUAUUGAAACUAUUUUACCCCCUAUAUGAGAGUCUUAGCCCCCUAGGCCUGGACUUAAAUCCUUUACCCGAUUAACAAUCAGAUGUUUUCUUAUAAACUAAAACCCAAAACAUUAAAACACUCCAGCUUUAUGUAAUGCCUAACGCGACAGGCCAGUGCCUUUGCCGGUAGCACUAUCUCGUAGAGGCUCAAGACGUAGUCAAUCCCAAAUAUCCGCAGAAUUUAAAACCUGAAUGAAUAGAAAAUUACCCACGUUUGCGAAACUAGUGAUAAAACACACAAUAGGCAUAUUUCUAUGCCCCACACCGCAAACGUGGGUAAUUUUCUAUUCAUUCAGGGUUU
This 556-nucleotide small RNA is filed under the name Spisula solidissima (Atlantic surf clam). RNAcentral's name for it is "cnRNA302". Lineage: Eukaryota; Metazoa; Mollusca; Bivalvia; Venerida; Mactridae. The record is from RNAcentral.